GACCUGAAACUCAAAGCCUCAUCUCUACCUGAGGGGAUGGCAUUUGCUCAUCAGAGUGUGUUACCUUCUUUCCACCUCAGGUUUCAUCAUCUGAAAAUGAGAAGGCACAGCCCAGGCCCAGGAGGCAGGAUACCUGGGUCCUGCCCUGCCACCUGCCAUCACCAUCUCAGGAAACUUGCAGAGACGCAUCUAACUGCCCUGCCCCUCAAUCUCUGGUACUGCAAAACUGGGACUCAUUGUUCAGAGGCGAGCUCCUCCUAUCAAGAGGUGGGGUUUAUUUUCCCAUUGCUGAAUAUGGGUUGACCUUGCGAGUGGUGUUGACCAGAAGAAUGCAGUGGAGGUGACAUCAUGCAAGUAGACCUUAAGAGACAGUGCAACUUUCACUGGGGCCGUCCUGAAGCACUGCCCAGAAACCUCAGAUCAGGAAAUUGGUCUAGCCUUCUGGAAGACAAGAGUCCCCAGGGAGGAGCAUCAGGGUUUCCAGUCAAGUGUCCCAGCACAGCUGCUAGACAUGCGCCUGAGGCCAUCUUGGGACCUUCCAGCUGAGACAAGCAGAAAAUCACACAGCCAACUUAACAAAAUGU
Homo sapiens (human) is the source of this 584-nucleotide long non-coding RNA. Lineage: Eukaryota; Metazoa; Chordata; Mammalia; Primates; Hominidae. The record is from Ensembl.